AACGAACGCUGGCGGCAUGCCUAACACAUGCAAGUCGAACGAGACCUUCGGGUCUAGUGGCGCACGGGUGCGUAACGCGUGGGAACCUGCCCUUAGGUUCGGAAUAACUCCCCGAAAGGGGUGCUAAUACCGGAUAAUGUCUUCGGACCAAAGAUUUAUCGCCUUUGGAUGGGCCCGCGUUGGAUUAGCUAGUUGGUAGGGUAAAAGCCUACCAAGGCGACGAUCCAUAGCUGGUCUGAGAGGAUGAUCAGCCACACUGGGACUGAGACACGGCCCAGACUCCUACGGGAAGCAGCAGUGGGGAAUAUUGGACAAUGGGCGAAAGCCUGAUCCAGCAAUGCCGCGUGAGUGAUGAAGGCCUUAGGGUUGUAAAGCUCUUCUACCCGGGAUGAUAAUGACAGUACCGGGAGAAUAAGCUCCGGCUAACUCCGUG
RNAcentral lists this ribosomal RNA (433 nucleotides) under uncultured bacterium. Its description in RNAcentral is "partial 16S ribosomal RNA". It matches the Rfam family "Bacterial small subunit ribosomal RNA", at positions 29 to 507 of the family's 1533-position model. The record is from RNAcentral.